CUGAUCUCCCCGUGAAGAAGCGGGGAUAAAAAUAUAAGACGAGAAGACCCCAUGGAGCUUUAAACCCAAUAGACACCUCUGACUAAUCUAACCCAAAACACUUCUUAAGUUCUGUCUAUUGGUUUUAGGUUGGGGUGACCACGGAGUACAAUAAAUCCUCCAUGACGUACGGGACUUCCCUCUUAUCCUUGAACCACAUUUCUAAGAAUCAACAAAUUGACGUUUGAUGAUCCAAUAUAUUGAUCAACGGACCAAGUUACCCUGGGGAUAACAGCGCAAUCCAUUUUUAAGAGCCCCCUAUCGCCAAAUGGGUUUACGACCUCGAUGUUGGAUCAGGGUAUCCCUAGUGGUGCAGCCGCUACUAAUGGUUUGUUUGUUCAA
This 381-nucleotide ribosomal RNA is filed under the name Fejervarya limnocharis (Boie's wart frog). Its description in RNAcentral is "partial large subunit ribosomal RNA". It matches the Rfam family "Bacterial large subunit ribosomal RNA", at positions 2042 to 2584 of the family's 2925-position model. Lineage: Eukaryota; Metazoa; Chordata; Amphibia; Anura; Dicroglossidae. The record is from RNAcentral.